RNAcentral lists this ribosomal RNA (510 nucleotides) under Oxarthrius sp. JPBO8. Its description in RNAcentral is "partial large subunit ribosomal RNA". The stretch from base 383 to 510 matches the Rfam family "Bacterial large subunit ribosomal RNA", at positions 2473 to 2600 of the family's 2925-position model. The record is from RNAcentral. Lineage: Eukaryota; Metazoa; Arthropoda; Insecta; Coleoptera; Staphylinidae.
GGUUUUUUGAUAAUAAUUUAAAAUUUGAUCUGCCCACUGAAGUAUUUAAGGGCCGCAGUAAUUUGACUGUGCAAAGGUAGCAUAAUAAUUAGUUUUUUAAUUGAAAGCUAGAAUGAAUGAUUGGACAAAAAUGAUAUUGUCUUAGUUUAAUUUUAUUAAAAUUUAAUUUUUAAGUAAAAAAGCUUAAAUAAUAAUUAUAGACGAGAAGACCCUAUAGAGUUUUAUAUUAAUUAUAUUUAUUAGUUAAGUAGAAAUUUUAUAUUAAUAAAUUUAAUAUAUUUAUUUGGGGUGAUAGAAAAAUUUAUUAAACUUUUUUAUUAUUAAAACAAUUAUUUUUGGAUAUUUGAUCCUUAUUUAGAUUAUUAGAUUAAAUUACCUUAGGGAUAACAGCGUAAUUUUUUUGGAGAGUUCUUAUUAAUAAAAAAGAUUGCGACCUCGAUGUUGGAUUAAGAUUUAUAAUUAAUGAAGAAGUUAAUUUAAUUAAGUCUGUUCGACUUUUAAAAUCUUACA